RNAcentral lists this ribosomal RNA (440 nucleotides) under uncultured bacterium. RNAcentral's name for it is "bacterial SSU rRNA". It matches the Rfam family "Bacterial small subunit ribosomal RNA", at positions 338 to 792 of the family's 1533-position model. The record is from RNAcentral.
CCUACGGGUGGCUGCAGUCGAGAAUCUUCCGCAAUGGACGAAAGUCUGACGGAGCGACGCCGCGUGAUGGAUGAAGUCCCUCUGGGACGUAAACAUCUUUUACCGGGGAGAAAGUUUUGAUAGUACCCGGGGAAUAAGGGGUUGCUAAACUCGUGCCAGCAGCAGCGGUAAUACGAGUGCCCCAAGCGUUAUCCGGAAUUAUUGGGCGUAAAGGGUGUGUAGGUGGCGAUGCUAGUCUUCUGUCAAAUUCUUCGGCUCAACCGGGGUUCUGCAGAGGAAACGGCAUUGCUAGAGGAUGUUAGGGGCCAAGGGAACUCAUGGAGUAGGGGUGAAAUCCGUUGAUAUCAUGGGGAACACCAAAAGCGAAGGCACUUGGCUGGGGCAUUCCUGACACUGAAACACGAAAGCGUGGGUAGCGAACGGGAUUAGAUACCCCAGUA